GAUGAAGAACGUAGCGAAAUGCGAUAAGUAGUGUGAAUUGCAGAAUUCAGUGAAUCAUCGAAUCUUUGAACGCACAUUGCGCCCCUUGGUAUUCCAUGGGGCAUGCCUGUUCGAGCGUCAUUUGUACCUUCAAGCUUUGCUUGGUGUUGGGUGUUUGUCCCGAGGGACUCGCCUUAAAGUCAUUGGCAGCCAGUGUUUGGUUUUGAAGCGCAGCACAAGUCGCGAUUCAAGGCUACACGCCCGCUUCCACAAGCCUUUUUUCACUUUUGACCUCGGAUCAGGUAGGGAUACCCGCUGAACUUAAGCAUAUCAAUAAGCGGAGGA
RNAcentral lists this unclassified non-coding RNA (324 nucleotides) under soil metagenome. RNAcentral describes it as "partial contains 5.8S ribosomal RNA, internal transcribed spacer 2, and large subunit ribosomal RNA". The stretch from base 1 to 120 matches the Rfam family "5.8S ribosomal RNA", at positions 35 to 154 of the family's 154-position model. The record is from RNAcentral.